UGAAUACGAGAUGCUACGGCGUCGAAGCAGUCUAUGUCAUACUUCCAAGAAAAGCUUGCACUGUCAUAAACAAAUAAUGCCUGUACCAUAACCGACACAGGUGGGUAGGUAGAGUAUACUAAGGGGCGCGAGAUAACUCUCUCUAAGGAACUCGGCAAAAUGACUCCGUAACUUCGGGAGAAGGAGUGCCUUAUUUAUAAGGUUGCAAUAACAAGAUCCAAGCAACUGUUUACCAAAAACACGGGUCUCCGCUAAGUCGUAAGACGAUGUAUGGGGGCUGACGCCUGCCCAGUGCCAGAAGGUUAAAGAAGUUGGUUAGCAUCCGCGAAGCUGAUAACUGAAGCCCUGGUGAACGGCGGCCGUAACGAUAACGGUCCUAAGGUAGCGAAAUUCCUUGUCGGGUAAGUUCCGACCCGCACGAAAGGCGUAAUGAUUUGGAUACUGUCUCGGAGAGGGGCUCGGUGAAAUAGACUUGUCUGUGAAGAUGCGGACUACCUGCACCAGGACAGAAAGACCCUAUGAAGCUUUACUGUAACCUGAAAUUGAAAUUGGACUUUACUUGCGCAGUAUAGGUGGGAGGCGUUGAGAAUAUUCUUGCGGGAUUAUUGGAGCCAUCAGUGAGAUACCACUCUUGUAAUGUUAGAUUUCUAACUUUGUAUCAUUAUCUGGUCAAAGAACAGUUUCAGGCGGGCAGUUUGACUGGGGCGGUCGCCUCCUAAACGGUAACGGAGGCGCACAAAGGUUUCCUCUGAACGGGUAGAAAUCGUAUCUAGAGUGUAAAGGCAUAAGGAAGCUUGACUGUGAGACCUACAAGUCGAGCAGGGACGAAAGUCGGUCUUAGUGAUCUGACGGUGCUGAGUGGAAAGGCCGUCACUCAACGGAUAAAAGUUACUCUAGGAUAACAGGCUGAUCUCCCCCAAGAGUUCACAUCGACGGGGAGGUUUGGCACCUCGAUGUCGGCUCAUCGCAUCCUGGGGCGGUAGUACGUCCCAAGGGUUGGGCUGUUCGCCCAUGAAAGCGGUACGCGAGCUGGGUUCAGAACGUCGUGAGACAGUUCGGUCCAUAUCCGGUGUAGGCGUUAGAAUAUUGAGAGGAGCCUUCUUUAGUACGAGAGGACCGAGAAGGACAUACCUCUGGUGUACCAGUUAUCGUGCCAACGGUAAACGCUGGGUAGCUAUGUGUGGAGUGGAUAACCGCUGAAAGCAUCUAAGUGGGAAGCCCACCUCAAGAUAAGUAUUCUC
RNAcentral lists this ribosomal RNA (1241 nucleotides) under metagenome. RNAcentral's name for it is "bacterial LSU rRNA". It matches the Rfam family "Bacterial large subunit ribosomal RNA", at positions 1564 to 2815 of the family's 2925-position model. The record is from RNAcentral.